Molecule: long non-coding RNA, 1134 nt
Filed under: Monodelphis domestica (gray short-tailed opossum)
Lineage: Eukaryota; Metazoa; Chordata; Mammalia; Didelphimorphia; Didelphidae
Description: lncRNA (ENSMODG00000047752.1)
Source: RNAcentral
AGCUAUACAUUGCUGCAAAAAUGGCAGAGAAACAAGAGAAGAUAUCAGGGAACAAAAGUCAUGAUCUCAUGGAGCAAAAGACCUGGACUUUGCCCUUUGCUACAGUUAUGGAUUAUUUAGAUAGAGGUAUUUCAGGGAAAGAGGUCGCUUCUCUAACAAGCCCAAUUUAAUUCUCUAAGACAUUAUUUUUCUUUCUAGUAGUUUACAGUUAACUAAGAAAGAUAAGACAGAUAUCCAAAAAAGUAUUAGCAAAAUGCCAUUAGUGGUAUCAAUGUUUUACACAAAAUAAUGCUUAGUUAGAAUGAGAAUACCUAAGUUCUUUUCCAUGCCCGUUACCUUCCAUUGAUCAUGAUAUCUCUCAGAAUUCCAAUUUCCACCUCUGACAAAUGAAGAGAGUGAACUAGAUGAUCUCAAAAGUCUCUUCUAAUCUUACUUAUAGAAUUAAAAAGAGGAAUAUGAAAGGCCUUCAGCAGUGGUGGGAAAAUAGAGUAAAAAUCACUCAUUUAUAAAAUGCUUUCUGUUUGCAAAGUAUGUUAUAAAUAUUUUCUCAUAUGAUCUGGACAAUAAUCCUGUGAGGUAGGGAAGGAAGCAUUUCAGCUAGACCUUGAAGAUUUGGUUAGAUUUUGCAAGGGGACGACACAAAGAAGGAUAGUCUAGGCAGAAGGAAGAAUUUAUGCAAAAGCAUGCAGACAGGGAAGUACAUGGCAGGCUCAUGGUGUUUGGCUGGGGCAUAGGCUGGUGUAGAAAGGAAACAAGACUGACAGUUUGUGGGGGAAGGGCCCAACUGGGAGUGGCAGUUGGGUCUUGUGACUAACACUUCCUUCCUGCGGAGGUAGUCUUGCUUCUAGGUAUUGGAGGAAAGAGGAGCUUGUUCAGCCCAGUCUGGAGUGGCAUGCUCUUCUUGGUUCAGCUCAAAGACACAGGCUUCUAAAGGCAUUUACAAAGUACCCACCCUGUGCCAAGCUGUAUGAAUACAGAAACAAAAGCAAAAUAGUACUGAUCUCAGGACCUGACAGUAUCCUAAAGAAAAAUGAUUUGGACAUAACUUUGGGCAGGAGUCUACUACAAACUCAAAUGGAAAGCAAAAGGAAAAGUCAAAGUAACACUCAUGCUGUGGGUGGAUUCACAGUCUAG